This 460-nucleotide ribosomal RNA is filed under the name uncultured bacterium. Its description in RNAcentral is "partial 16S ribosomal RNA". It matches the Rfam family "Bacterial small subunit ribosomal RNA", at positions 338 to 795 of the family's 1533-position model. The record is from RNAcentral.
CCUACGGGAGGCAGCAGUGAGGAAUAUUGGUCAAUGGACGAGAGUCUGAACCAGCCAAGUAGCGUGAAGGAUGACUGCCCUAUGGGUUGUAAACUUCUUUUAUAAAGGAAUAAAAUGAGCCACGUGUGCGUUUUUGUAUGUACUUUAUGAAUAAGGAUCGGCUAACUCCGUGCCAGCAGCCGCGGUAAUACGGAGGAUCCGAGCGUUAUCCGGAUUUAUUGGGUUUAAAGGGAGCGUAGAUGGGUUGUUAAGUCAGUUGUGAAAGUUUGCGGCUCAACCGUAAAAUUGCAAUUGAUACUGGCAGUCUUGAGUACAGUUGAGGUGGGCGGAAUUCGUGGUGUAGCGGUGAAAUGCUUAGAUAUCACGAAGAACUCCGAUUGCGAAGGCAGCUUACUAAACUGCCACUGACAUUGAGGCUCGAAAGUGUGGGUAUCAAACAGGAUUAGAUACCCUGGUAGUC